AGGGGAAUAGCUGGGUUGAAUGGUGGUUCCAUUCCCAGCUUUCCAAAGAAUCUCCAUAUUGCUUUCCAAAUUGGCCACACCAAUUUGCAGUCCCACCAGCAAU
This 103-nucleotide microRNA precursor is filed under the name Marmota monax (woodchuck). The record is from RNAcentral. Lineage: Eukaryota; Metazoa; Chordata; Mammalia; Rodentia; Sciuridae.